RNAcentral lists this ribosomal RNA (633 nucleotides) under Cinereomyces lindbladii. RNAcentral's name for it is "partial large subunit ribosomal RNA". It matches the Rfam family "Eukaryotic large subunit ribosomal RNA", at positions 36 to 650 of the family's 3401-position model. Lineage: Eukaryota; Fungi; Basidiomycota; Agaricomycetes; Polyporales; Gelatoporiaceae. The record is from RNAcentral.
UAGCAUAUCAAUAAGCGGAGGAAAAGAAACUAACAAGGAUUCCCCUUAGUAACUGCGAAGUGAAGCGGGAAAAGCUCAAAUUUAAAAUCUGGCGGUCUUUGGCCGUCCGAGUUGUAGUCUGGAGAAGUGCUUUCCGCGCUGGACCGUGUAUAAGUCUCCUGGAACGGAGCGUCAUAGAGGGUGAGAAUCCCGUCUUUGACACGGACUACCAGUGCUCUGUGAUGCGCUCUCAAAGAGUCGAGUUGUUUGGGAAUGCAGCUCAAAAUGGGUGGUGAAUUCCAUCUAAAGCUAAAUAUUGGCGAGAGACCGAUAGCGAACAAGUACCGUGAGGGAAAGAUGAAAAGCACUUUGGAAAGAGAGUUAAACAGUACGUGAAAUUGCUGAAAGGGAAACGCUUGAAGUCAGUCGCGUCAGCCGGAAAUCAGCCUUGCUUCCGCUUGGUGUACUUUCUGGUUGACGGGCCAGCAUCGAUUUUGACCGUUGGAAAAAGGCAGAGGGAAUGUGGCACCUUCGGGUGUGUUAUAGCCCUCUGUUGCAUACAACGGUUGGGAUCGAGGAACUCAGCACGCCUUCAUGGUCGGGGUUCGCCCACGUUCGUGCUUAGGAUGCUGGCGUAAUGGCUUUAAACGACCC